This 543-nucleotide ribosomal RNA is filed under the name uncultured Streptococcus sp. RNAcentral describes it as "bacterial SSU rRNA". It matches the Rfam family "Bacterial small subunit ribosomal RNA", at positions 28 to 557 of the family's 1533-position model. The record is from RNAcentral. Lineage: Bacteria; Bacillati; Bacillota; Bacilli; Lactobacillales; Streptococcaceae.
GAUGAACGCUAGCGAUAGGCUUAACACAUGCAAGUCUAGGGGUAACGUGUUGGAAGCUUGCUUCCGAUGACGACGACCGGCGGAUGGGUGCGUAACGCGUAUGCAACUUGCCUCACAGAGGAGAAUAACCCGGAGAAAUCCGGACUAAUGCUCCAUACACUCUUUAGCACGCCUGUGCGUAAGAGGAAAGAUUUAUCGCUGUGAGAUAGGCAUGCGUCCUAUUAGGUAGUUGGUGAGGUAACGGCUCACCAAGCCGACGAUAGGGAGGGGUGCUGAGAGGCAGAUCCCCCACAUUGGAACUGAGACCCUGUCCCAACUCCUACCGGAGGCAGCGAAGAGGAAUCUUGGUCAAUAGAUGGAGAUCUGAACCAGCCGAGUGGCGUGCAAGAUGACGGCCCUAUGGGUUGUAAACUGCUUUUAUGUGAGAAUAAAGUUAGGUAUGUAUACUAAUUUGCAUGUAUCACAUGGAUAACGACCGGCUGAUUCCGUGCCACCAGCCCGCGGCAAUACAGUAAGGUCCGGGCCGUAUCCGCGAUUUAUUGG